RNAcentral lists this ribosomal RNA (419 nucleotides) under bacterium. Its description in RNAcentral is "partial 16S ribosomal RNA". It matches the Rfam family "Bacterial small subunit ribosomal RNA", at positions 355 to 776 of the family's 1533-position model. The record is from RNAcentral.
UGGGGGAUAUUGCACAAUGGGCGCAAGCCUGAUGCAGCGACGCCGCGUGGGGGAUGAAGGCCUUCGGGUUGUAAACUUCUUUUGCUCUGAACAAGGCGCACUUUGGGGUGUGUUGAGUGUAGGGGUUGAUUAGCGCCGGCUAACUACGUGCCAGCAGCCGCGGUAAUACGUAGGGCGCGAGCGUUGUCCGGAAUUAUUGGGCGUAAAGGGCUUGUAGGUGGCUGGUUGCGUCUGUCGUGAAAGCUCAUGGCUUAACUGUGGGUUUGCGGUGGGUACGGGCUGGCGUGAGUGCAGUAGGGGAGGCUGGAAUUCCUGGUGUAGCGGUGGAAUGCGCAGAUAUCAGGAGGAAUACCGGUGGCGAAGGCGGGUCUCUGGGCUGUUACUGACACUGAGGAGCGAAAGCAUGGGGAGCGAACAGG